Long non-coding RNA from Hypanus sabinus (Atlantic stingray), 545 nucleotides. RefSeq lists it as uncharacterized. Lineage: Eukaryota; Metazoa; Chordata; Chondrichthyes; Myliobatiformes; Dasyatidae. The record is from RefSeq and is a predicted model, not a curated record. The transcript is spliced from 3 exons.
GCCAGACAGAUGUCAUUCUGAAGAGAUCUCUGGGAUCAAACUGUGGUAUCAUCAAGCAGGGUUAUGCCAGGGUUCCAUUCCUGUGAACUGGUCAUAACCCAAAAAGUUUGCAAAGCAGACAGAUUACUGAAGGAACACGCACAAAAUGCUGGUGGAACGCAGCAGGCCAGGCAGCAUCUAUAGGAAGAAGCACUGUCGACGUUUCGGGCCGAGACCCUUCGCCAGGACUAACUGAAAGGAAAGAUAGUAGAUUAUAUCCGUGAACUAAGUUCCCAUAUGGCAGUAGAUGCAUGCAGCCACAUAGCAGCCUGAACAUCCAUCCAGCUGAUCACACAAAGGCUUGUUCAUAUGUUUGGACUGUACAGUAAGGUUUUUUUGUUUUAUGUUGCGUGAGGCCAUGAAUAAUUGUAAGUCCUGAUUAUCUUUCUUAUCAGUCUUAUUGCAGAUUUUGGGUCAAUGUUUUAGAAUUUUAAGAUUGUUUCUGUGUAACAUUUCUUUACCAAAAUGUCCACACCUCAUUCUUCCUCAAAAUGCUUACUGUGAUU